AGAGCGAACGCUGGCGGCAGGCCUAACACAUGCAAGUCGAACGGACCCUUCGGGGUUAGUGGCGGACGGGUGAGUAACACGUGGGAACGUGCCUUUUGGUUCGGAAUAGCUCCUGGAGACGGGUGGUAAUGCCGAAUGUGCCCUUCGGGGGAAAGAUUUAUCGCCAUUAGAGCGGCCCGCGUCUGAUUAGCUAGUUGGUGAGGUAAUGGCUCACCAAGGCGACGAUCAGUAGCUGGUCUGAGAGGAUGACCAGCCACAUUGGGACUGAGACACGGCCCAAACUCCUACGGGAGCAGCAGUGGGAAUCUGCGCAAUGGG
RNAcentral lists this ribosomal RNA (318 nucleotides) under uncultured soil bacterium. Its description in RNAcentral is "bacterial SSU rRNA". It matches the Rfam family "Bacterial small subunit ribosomal RNA", at positions 26 to 375 of the family's 1533-position model. The record is from RNAcentral.